This is a long non-coding RNA of Oryzias melastigma (Indian medaka), 1037 nucleotides long. RefSeq lists it as uncharacterized. The record is from RefSeq and is a predicted model, not a curated record. The transcript has 2 exons. NCBI's taxonomy places the organism in Eukaryota, Metazoa, Chordata, Actinopteri, Beloniformes, Adrianichthyidae.
UGGUUUAAUUGGAAAUGCUGAUUUCGUUGUCUGAAAUUAGCAUUUCCAUGAGGAUGGUAGAACCCCUGGUUAGGGUGGGCCAUGUGGUGUCUCUGGUUUCCGAACAUUUUCUUUCCAAACAAUCCUUGGAUGCUUGCAAGAGCUGUGGUCUUUGAAUCUCAGAGUUGAUUCUCUCUGGCAAACACCCGCCUUCAAGAACUUUUACACUCAGGUUUUUGUACACCUUAUGACAUCAUAUGUCAUCAUGUAAUUCUGCAUGAUAGACAUGCUUGCAUCAAAUUACAUCAGUGCUUACGUCAUUUGACAUCACUCGUUUUACGUAGCCUACUGCACGUUGAUUGGCCAGCUAGAUUUAACUUAGAAAUAAAAUAAUGAAAAUGUAAAAAUAACAUAAGAAUUUUCAGGCUCAACUGCAUAUUAUCAGAGAUUCAUCACUGACUUUCAUAAUAUGGGGAACUAAAACCGCCAUGGUGAUGCUAAUGCUAGCACCGGGCUAGCGUUAGCAUCACGCAAAGCUAUUGUUUCCUGUUUAUUUUUGUCUACAUCAGGGUUCCCAGCUGGCGGACCGCGGUCCGGGUCCAGACCCCGAGAACCUUUAUCUGGACCGCCAAGCAUUUUUAGUAAAAAAAAAAAAAAAAAAGUAUGAUAUUACAUUUAUUAUCAACCGCGGGGAUUUUUGAACAGGCGCGCGCGAGGACAGCUACGUACGGACCGGGGUCCUUCAGCCGGCAAAAGUUCAUAGCGGUGUGAAAUGAAGCGGCGCUACGAGACUGUCCACAGAGACAAAACACACAACUUUUGAAACAAAUGACCCGCCAGAAUCAGCGCCGUGGGGACGGAAAAUACAGUUUCCCUGUGAGCGCAAAAAGAAGAUGGAAAUAAUUCUGCAUGUGACUCGAGACUGCUGUUCAGGCUUCUCUGAAGAAACUGGUCAUUCUGAAGAUGGAUCUGGAGGAAGAGUGAGCAUUUUCCUUCAUUAAACGGAUCAAUGUCACUGCUCAUUCUGACUUGAUCAAAAAGUUGAUUGAAAACUUUAA